Trichobilharzia regenti is the source of this 45-nucleotide non-coding RNA. The record is from Rfam. NCBI's taxonomy places the organism in Eukaryota, Metazoa, Platyhelminthes, Trematoda, Strigeidida, Schistosomatidae.
AUCUAGCUGACGAGUCCCAAGUAGGACGAGAUGAUCAUCCUGGAU